RNAcentral lists this ribosomal RNA (492 nucleotides) under uncultured bacterium. RNAcentral's name for it is "partial 16S ribosomal RNA". It matches the Rfam family "Bacterial small subunit ribosomal RNA", at positions 29 to 507 of the family's 1533-position model. The record is from RNAcentral.
AGUGAACGCUGGCGGUAGGCCUAACACAUGCAAGUCGAACGGCAGCACAGUAAGAGCUUGCUCUUACGGGUGGCGAGUGGCGGACGGGUGAGGAAUACAUCGGAAUCUACUUUUUCGUGGGGGAUAACGUAGGGAAACUUACGCUAAUACCGCAUACGACCUACGGGUGAAAGCAGGGGAUCUUCGGACCUUGCGCGAUUGAAUGAGCCGAUGUCGGAUUAGCUAGUUGGCGGGGUAAAGGCCCACCAAGGCGACGAUCCGUAGCUGGUCUGAGAGGAUGAUCAGCCACACUAGAACUGAGACACGGUCCAGACUCCUACGGGAGGCAGCAGUGGGGAAUAUUGGACAAUGGGCGCAAGCCUGAUCCAGCCAUACCGCGCGGGUGAAGAAGGCAUUCGGGUUGUAAAGCCCUUUUGUUGGGAAAGAAAAGCAGCAGGUUAAUACCCCGCUGUUCUGACGGUACCCAAAGAAUAAGCACCGGCUAACUUCGUG